Molecule: long non-coding RNA, 335 nt
Filed under: Phoenix dactylifera (date palm)
Lineage: Eukaryota; Viridiplantae; Streptophyta; Magnoliopsida; Arecales; Arecaceae
Description: long non-coding RNA (PDAC_LNC012548)
Source: RNAcentral
GGCUCAAUAACCUUCCCGCUGGGGAGGCUAUGUUGCGGGAGGGGGAGGGGCCUUGAAUUUAGUCCCACAUCGGCUAGUAGCGGGAAGGUUCUGUGCCUUAAAUGGGGGUUGGAAAACCUUUCCUCUCGAGGCGCCUUUUGAAGGGCAAAACCGUGAGGGCAAAGCGGACAAUACCUCGGGAGGAACGCAGUCCUCUUUCUCUGCUAGCUUAAUGUGGGCUAGGCUAUUGUGUGAGGCUCCGGCAGAAUGUCGUCCCCGCAACAGAUGGCGCGCCAGGUAGGGGCGCCUCCUCCGACCGUUGACUACCCCUCAGGACUGUGGAGGCUCAAUAACCU